This 305-nucleotide unclassified non-coding RNA is filed under the name uncultured fungus. RNAcentral's name for it is "sequence contains ITS2". The record is from RNAcentral. Lineage: Eukaryota; Fungi.
AACGCACCUUGUGCCCUUUGGUCAUCUGAGGGGCAUGCCUGUUUGAGUGUCUUGAAGCUCUCAAAUGUUUCUUUUUUGAUUGAAGAAAAAGAAAUGCAUUUGGAUGUGGGUGUCUGCAGGUCUUUACAUUGUAAAGAUGAGCUCAUCUUAAAUCUAUUAGCUGGCUUUUUUUUGAAGUCUAUCAAACUCAGUGUGAUAAUGAAUGAUCACUUCACUGAGGGACUGUUGUACAAAAGAAGUUGCUUUGAUCAAUAAGAUUUGUUGAAUUUGACCUCAAAUCAGGUAGGACUACCCGCUGAACUUAA